GGGGAAUCUUGGACAAUGGGGGCAACCCUGAUCCAGCCAUGCCGCGUGAGUGAUGAAGGCCUUAGGGUCGUAAAGCUCUUUCGCCUGUGAUGAUAAUGACAGUAGCAGGUAAAGAAACCCCGGCUAACUCCGUGCCAGCAGCCGCGGUAAUACGGAGGGGGUUAGCGUUGUUCGGAAUUACUGGGCGUAAAGCGCGCGUAGGCGGAUUAGUCAGUUAGAGGUGAAAUCCCAGGGCUCAACCCUGGAACUGCCUUUAAUACUGCUAGUCUUGAGUUCGAGAGAGGUGAGUGGAAUUCCGAGUGUAGAGGUGAAAUUCGUAGAUAUUCGGAGGAACACCAGUGGCGAAGGCGGCUCACUGGCUCGAUACUGACGCUGAGGUGCGAAAGUGUGGGGAGCAAACAGG
This 403-nucleotide ribosomal RNA is filed under the name uncultured bacterium. RNAcentral's name for it is "bacterial SSU rRNA". It matches the Rfam family "Bacterial small subunit ribosomal RNA", at positions 356 to 776 of the family's 1533-position model. The record is from RNAcentral.